RNAcentral lists this transfer RNA (74 nucleotides) under Candidatus Saccharimonadota bacterium. Its description in RNAcentral is "tRNA-Gln". It matches the Rfam family "tRNA". Rfam says of the family: Transfer RNA (tRNA) molecules are approximately 80 nucleotides in length. Lineage: Bacteria; Candidatus Saccharimonadota. RNAcentral also lists the same sequence under 5 other names. The record is from RNAcentral.
UGGGGAUUGGCCAAGUGGUAAGGCAGCGGAUUCUGGUUCCGCGAUCGGGGGUUCGAAUCCCUCAUCCCCAGCCA